This 262-nucleotide ribosomal RNA is filed under the name uncultured prokaryote. Its description in RNAcentral is "partial 16S ribosomal RNA". It matches the Rfam family "Bacterial small subunit ribosomal RNA", at positions 917 to 1178 of the family's 1533-position model. The record is from RNAcentral.
GGGCCCGCACAAGCGGUGGAGCAUGUGGUUUAAUUCGAAGCAACGCGAAGAACCUUACCAGGUCUUGACAUCCUUUGACCACUCUAGAGAUAGAGCUUUCCCCUUCGGGGGGACAAAGUGACAGGUGGUGCAUGGUUGUCGUCAGCUCGUGUCGUGAGAUGUUGGGUUAAGUCCCGCAACGAGCGCAACCCUUAUCUUAGUUGCCAUCAUUAGGUUGGGCACUCUAGAGAGACUGCCGGUGACAAACCGGAGGAAGGUGGGG